Molecule: ribosomal RNA, 301 nt
Filed under: uncultured bacterium
Lineage: Bacteria
Description: partial 16S ribosomal RNA
Rfam family: Bacterial small subunit ribosomal RNA
Source: RNAcentral
CAGCCGCCGCGGUAAUGCGUAGGGUGCGAGCGUUAAUCGGAAUUACUGGGCGUAAAGCGGGCGCAGACGGUUACUUAAGCAGGAUGUGAAAUCCCCGGGCUCAACCUGGGAAUUGCGUUCUGAACUGGGUGGCUAGAGUGUGUCAGAGGGGGGUAGAAUUCCACGUGUAGCAGUGAAAUGCGUAGAGAUGUGGAGGAAUACCGAUGGCGAAGGCAGCCCCCUGGGAUAGCACUGACGUUCAUGCCCGAAAGCGUGGGUAGCAAACAGGAUUAGAGACCCCUGUAGUCCCUGUCUCUUAUAA